ACGAAGGGAGCUAGCGUUGUUCGGAAUUACUGGGCGUAAAGGGCGCGUAGGCGGCUUUAUAAGUCAGAUGUGAAAUCCCUGGGCUUAACCUAGGAAUGGCAUUUGAAACUGUAAGGCUAGAGAUCGAGAGAGGAUAGAGGAAUUGCGAGUGUAGAGGUGAAAUUCGUAGAUAUUCGCAAGAACACCGGUGGCGAAGGCGGCUAUCUGGCUCGAUACUGACGCUAAGGCGCGAAAGCGUGGGGAGCAAACAGG
This 252-nucleotide ribosomal RNA is filed under the name uncultured bacterium. RNAcentral describes it as "partial 16S ribosomal RNA". It matches the Rfam family "Bacterial small subunit ribosomal RNA", at positions 525 to 776 of the family's 1533-position model. The record is from RNAcentral.